This 691-nucleotide ribosomal RNA is filed under the name Limosilactobacillus ingluviei. RNAcentral describes it as "bacterial SSU rRNA". It matches the Rfam family "Bacterial small subunit ribosomal RNA", at positions 43 to 690 of the family's 1533-position model. Lineage: Bacteria; Bacillati; Bacillota; Bacilli; Lactobacillales; Lactobacillaceae. The record is from RNAcentral.
UGUGCCUAAUACAUGCAAGUCGAACGCGUUGGCCCAAUUGAUUGAUGGUGCUUGCACCUGAUUGAUUUUGGUCGCCAACGAGUGGCGGACGGGUGAGUAACACGUAGGUAACCUGCCCAGAAGCGGGGGACAACAUUUGGAAACAGAUGCUAAUACCGCAUAACAACGUUGUUCGCAUGAACAACGCUUAAAAGAUGGCUUCUCGCUAUCACUUCUGGAUGGACCUGCGGUGCAUUAGCUUGUUGGUGGGGUAACGGCCUACCAAGGCGAUGAUGCAUAGCCGAGUUGAGAGACUGAUCGGCCACAAUGGGACUGAGACACGGCCCAUACUCCUACGGGAGGCAGCAGUAGGGAAUCUUCCACAAUGGGCGCAAGCCUGAUGGAGCAACACCGCGUGAGUGAAGAAGGGUUUCGGCUCGUAAAGCUCUGUUGUUAAAGAAGAACACGUAUGAGAGUAACUGUUCAUACGUUGACGGUAUUUAACCAGAAAGUCACGGCUAACUACGUGCCAGCAGCCGCGGUAAUACGUAGGUGGCAAGCGUUAUCCGGAUUUAUUGGGCGUAAAGAGAGUGCAGGCGGUUUUCUAAGUCUGAUGUGAAAGCCUUCGGCUUAACCGGAGAAGUGCAUCGGAAACUGGAUAACUUGAGUGCAGAAGAGGGUAGUGGAACUCCAUGUGUAGCGGUGGAAUGCG